ACGAACGCUGGCGGCGUGCUUAACACAUGCCAGUCGAACGGAAAGGCCCUGCUUUUGUGGGGUGCUCGAGUGGCGAACGGGUGAGUAACACGUGAGUAACCUGCCCUUGACUUUGGGAUAACUUCAGGAAACUGGGGCUAAUACCGGAUAAUAUAUUGAACCGCAUGGUUCAAUAGUGAAAGACGGUUUUGCUGUCACUUAUAGAUGGAUCCGCGCCGCAUUAGCUAGUUGGUAAGGUAACGGCUUACCAAGGCGACGAUGCGUAGCCGACCUGAGAGGGUGAUCGGCCACACUGGAACUGAGACACGGUCCAGACUCCUACGGGAGGCAGCAGUAGGGAAUCUUCCGCAAUGGGCGAAAGCCUGACGGAGCAACGCCGCGUGAGUGAUGAAGGUCUUCGGAUCGUAAAACUCUGUUAUUAGGGAAGAACAAAUGUGUAAGUAACUAUGCACGUCUUGACGGUACCUAAUCAGAAAGCCACGGCUAACUACGUG
Molecule: ribosomal RNA, 494 nt
Filed under: uncultured bacterium
Lineage: Bacteria
Description: partial 16S ribosomal RNA
Rfam family: Bacterial small subunit ribosomal RNA
Source: RNAcentral